AUUGAACGCUGGCGGCAUGCUUUACACAUGCAAGUCGAACGGUAACAGGUUAAGCUGACGAGUGGCGAACGGGUGAGUAAUGCAUCGGAACGUGCCCGGUCGUGGGGGAUAACACUUCGAAAGAAGUGCUAAUACCGCAUACGAUCUGAGGAUGAAAGCGGGGGACCGUAAGGCCUCGCGCGAUCGGAGCGGCCGAUGUCAGAUUAGGUAGUUGGUGGGGUAAAGGCUCACCAAGCCGACGAUCUGUAGCUGGUCUGAGAGGACGACCAGCCAAACUGGGACUGAGAAACGGCCCAGACUCCGACGGGAGGCAGCAGUGGGGAAUUUUGGACAAUGGGCGAAAGCCUGAUCCAGCAAUGCCGCGUGCAGGAAGAAGGCCUUCGGGUUGUAAACUGCUUUUGUACGGAGCGAAAAGGCUCUCUCUAAUACAGGGGGCUCAUGACGGUACCGCAAGAAUAAGCACCGGCCAACUACGUGCCAGCCGCCGCCGUAA
This 493-nucleotide ribosomal RNA is filed under the name uncultured bacterium. Its description in RNAcentral is "partial 16S ribosomal RNA". It matches the Rfam family "Bacterial small subunit ribosomal RNA", at positions 29 to 523 of the family's 1533-position model. The record is from RNAcentral.